GCUUACCCGCGCGCUCGGUGCGUGCUCGUUCCCCUUGCUCCGUGCACGGCUCUCGCUGCCCGCUCCGUGCACGCCGUGGGCCCGCGCUCUCUGCACGUGCUGCAGGCCUGCUCUCCCGGUGUGUGGCCUGCAUGCUCCACGCACGCUCUCUCCAUGUGCUCUGUGCGUGCCCUCUGCCCACGCUCCGUGCACGGUCUCCCCACAGGCUUCACGCACGCCCUCUUGCAUGCUCUGUGCAUGCUCUCUCCAAGCACUACGUGCACGCUCUCUCUGUAUGCUCUGUGCAUGCUCUCUCUCUUUGCAUGCAGUGUGCAUGCCCUCUUGCAUGCUCCGUGCAAGCUCCCCCAGCAUGCUCUGUGCAAGCUCUCUCCCAAUGCUCCAUGCAUGCCCUCUUGUGCGCUUCGUGCACACUCUCUUUGCCCGCUCUGGGCACGCUCUCUCUCUGCAAGCUCCAUGCGUGCUUUCUCUGCAUGCGCCAUGCACACUGUCUCUGCAUGCUCCGUGCAUGCCCUCUUGCAUACUCUGUGCACGCUCUCUCUGCAUGCUCUGUGCAUGCUUGCUCUGCAUCCUCCAUGCCUGUCCCUUGCAGACUGCCUGCAUGCUCAUGUUGCAUGCUUUGUGCACGCUUUCUUUUCAUGCUGGGUGCAUGCUGUCUCCAAACGCUCUAGGCAUGCCCUCUUGCGCGCUCCAUGCAGGCUCACUCUGCAUGCUCUGUGCCUGCUCUCUCUACGUGCUCCAUGCGUACUCUCUUGCAUGCUCUGGGCACACUUUCUCUGCAUGCUCUGCGCAAGGUCACUCUGCACACCCUGUGCACGCUCUCUCUGAAUGCUGCAUGCACGCUGCAUGCAUGCCCUGUGCACACUCUCUCUGUGUUCACCAUGCAUGCUCUCUUGCACGCUUUCUCUGCAUGCUCCAGGCAUGCUUUCUCUGCACGCUCCGCUCACACUCACUAUGCAGGCUGUGUGCCUGCUCUCUCUAUGUGCUCCAUGCCUGCUCUCUUGCAUGCUCCAGGCAUGGCUCCAGGCACACUUUCUCUGCACGCUCUGCGCACACUCACUCUGCACACUCUGUGCGUGCUCUCUCUGUGCACUCCAUGCCUGCUCUCUUGCACGCUCCGUGCAUGCUCCGGGCACACUUUCUCUGCACGCCCUGUGCAAAGACAGUCUGCAUGCUCUAUGCCCGCUCUCUCCACGUGCUCCAUGCAUGCUCUCUUGCACGCUCCAGGCAUGCUGCAGGCACACUUUCUCUGCACGCCCUGUGCACGCACACUCCGCAUGCUGCGUGCAUGCCCUCUCCGCACGCUCCGUGCACGCUCACUCUGCGUGCUCCCUGCCCGCUCUCUUGCACGCUCCAGGCACGCUCUCUCGGCCCGCCGCGUGCACACGAGCGCUCCCCAUGCCCCGCGCCCGCUCCCUCCGCGCGCCCCAGCCGCCC
RNAcentral lists this long non-coding RNA (1434 nucleotides) under Struthio camelus australis. RNAcentral's name for it is "lncRNA (ENSSCUG00000018243.1)". Lineage: Eukaryota; Metazoa; Chordata; Aves; Struthioniformes; Struthionidae. The record is from RNAcentral.